UACGGAAGGCAGCAGGGGGAAUAUUGCACAAUGGGCGCAAGCCUGAUGCAGCCAUGCCGCGUGUAUGAAGAAGGCCUUCGGGUUGUAAAGUACUUUCAGUCGUGAGGAAGGUGUUAAGGUUAAUAACCUUAGCAAUUGACGUUAGCGACAGAAGAAGCACCGGCUAACUCCGUGCCAGCAGCCGCGGUAAUACGGAGGGUGCGAGCGUUAAUCGGAAUUACUGGGCGUAAAGGGCACGCAGGCGGUUAAUUAAGUUGGAUGUGAAAUCCCCGGGCUUAACCUGGGAAUGGCAUUCAAGACUGGUUAGCUAGAGUCUUGUAGAGGGGGUUAGAAGUUCCGAUGUGUAGCGGUGAAAUGCGUAGAGAUGUGGAGGAAUACCGGUGGCGAAGGCGGCCCCUGGACAAAGACUGACGCUCAUGUGCGAAAGCGUGGGGAGCAAACGAGGGAUUAGAUACCCGU
RNAcentral lists this ribosomal RNA (459 nucleotides) under uncultured bacterium. RNAcentral describes it as "bacterial SSU rRNA". It matches the Rfam family "Bacterial small subunit ribosomal RNA", at positions 340 to 789 of the family's 1533-position model. The record is from RNAcentral.